RNAcentral lists this long non-coding RNA (2722 nucleotides) under Malus domestica (apple). Its description in RNAcentral is "long non-coding RNA (MDOM_LNC014543)". Lineage: Eukaryota; Viridiplantae; Streptophyta; Magnoliopsida; Rosales; Rosaceae. The record is from RNAcentral.
AUCUUAACAGGUGCUUAUCGGGUUACCCGAUAACGACCCGUUUCGUUAUCGUGUUGACCCGAACACCUGUUAAUUUCGUAUCGUGUCGUGUUGGGUUAUCGGGUCGUGUCAGGAAUUGUCAGGCCUAUCUUACCCCAUAACAUUCCUUUGGUCGUCAGCAAAACAAGAAAAAGGGAAAAAGGGUAAAAAAAUCAGAGUACUGAUAUGCAUAAAGUAAUUAACAGAAUUAACCAUAUCAUAAAAAGUUGGAAUAAAUAUGAUAUUGUUAAAGAUAAUAUUAUACACAUACUCGUUUUACUUUAUCACAUAUAUUCUCUUAAUUUUAAAGUCGUUGAAUAGAUAAAUUAAAGAAGAUCAAUGAACAAAAAUUAAUAAAGAUGUAUAAAAGGUAAAAAAAAAUAUGCAUAGCAUUACCUUCUUGUUAUUUCAAUUUGUUGAAAGAGAAUGAAAUAUUAGGGUAUGACAAGGAACAAGUCAAGAAGGUUGGUCACUGAGAGGUCCUUCUCUUCCAACGUUACGAUAUGCAUUCCCGUAUAGCUCCUACUGUGUUCUUGUAUAUAUCUGUAAUGUGUGUGUCAGCUUGAGCUAAGCUGCUGCAAAAGCAACAUGCCACUGAGAUCAAGUGGGCCCCAACAAUGCAGAAGAGAUUUCUCUCUGAUCUUUUGAUCAUCUGGGGAACUUUUUGUUUUUUUCGUGUGUGUGUACAUGAAGACUUGAUCAUGUCAUAUAUGAAUACAGUACAGUAUAUAUAGGUUAGUAUAUAUUUUGAUUCUUAAUUUUAUAUAUAUUUUUUAAAUUAGAUAAGUUCAAAAUCAUUAAGACAUUCGUAUAUAAUAAAAAGAAGGGACGAAUAGGGCUUUACAAAGACAAACAAUUGGAUUUGAUUUUGAUAAUUUUGUAGAUUAUCUUUGAAAAGAAAUACCUAAAAGAUAAACAGUGAGACUAUACUUAAAAUAUAUUAUACUUUAGACCCUGAAAAAAGUAUGUUAAAAAAUGUGUCACACAUGUGUGUGUAUAUUCAGAAGUGAGAACAGUAUAUAUGGCAUGGCAGAGCUUGAACAUAUUUGAAGAUCUAUAGCUUAUAGUUUGUUUUUGUGCUUAAAUAUACAGUGGAAACUGUUGCAUGGGGUAAGCUAAUGGGGAUGGCAUGCAUGCACAACCACCAGUUCCUGAUUCAGUACAUUUGCAUGCCAUGUAAUGCCAACCUAUACUUUCAUAGAUAUGCCCUGCAUCUAACUCUGAGUCGUCUUAUUUACAACCCUAAAUUUCCCAUACCCAGCGCCUGCAAAAUAUACAUACAUAUAUAUCUUGUAUAUAUAUUUUUUAUACAUGUGAUAUACACGGACCCGGUACCAAGUUCUCACAUUACAUUUGCAUGUACAUAUAUAUACUCUUCGGUCUUACAUACGUACAAGCCUCGUUUGGUGUUUAAGACUGGAUUAAAAUGGAUAAUUUACAAUACUUAAGGUCUAUUAGAUGGAAGAAAUGAAAAAAUUGUGUCUAACGUGAGGGUAGAAGAUGAUGGAUCACUAAGAGAACUUAUCCAUUUCAAUUUAAGAAAAGAAAGAAAAAAAGAAGAAGAUAGAAUUAGAAAAUAAGUUUCUUACAUGUGUUCAAUCCCUUAAAAAUGAAAAACAAUUCACAACUACUUUCAAUGGAUCCAAUCCUAAGUAAAAAACGUAUGUGGCCAUGUAUUGUUAUGUAGAUAUGUAGCAGGAAGGCUCUCCAUGCAUGACGUCCGGAGCAAGGGGUCAGUCUCCCCGCCGGUUGCAUUGUUAGGUGCUAGUUUUAUCGACAGGCAAGGAGUUUCUCAUGAUUGUUUUGCUAGUUUUGAUCCAUUUCGCAACAUGAUGGUAUGUUUAGGGUUAUAUAAUUACUCAUACAUGUUAGGUUUUAGGGUUUAUUAAGACAGUCCAUUUUCAAACCCCAAGAGUAACCUAAUCAAUGAACGUAUGUUGGGGGGGGACUGGCCUAAAACACAGACAAUAUUUGUUCGGUUUUAAGGUUUGUUAUACUUUCGAUAAAAAAAAAAAUCGUUUUAUAUUCCAAAUCUCGGAGAGUCAAGAGUAACCUAAUCAAUGAACGCAUGCAAGAGGACUCAUUUAAAAAACUUUCAUUGGUUGGGUCGGUUGCUUAUGUUUGCAUAAACAAAUUUAAUUGUUAAUACAAUAAUUUUAAAUAUGUUUUUCACAUGUAUGAAACUAAAAGAAUUAUUUACAUACAUAAACAACUAACUGUAACGUAAUUCCAUACGUAAAUUGUUCGACGACAGAACAAGGUUCUUGCAAUUUGCCAAUCAUCAUGUGUAGAGACAAUAAAUUCUUCUUCUUAUUUUUUUUUUCCAAGAGGGAAAGUGAGGAGUAAAAAGGCCGAAGGGGGUGGUGGUGGGGGUCUCAUCAGGUGUGGAAUGCAAAGCGGUAAGAAAUGAAUCCAACAAGAGAUCAGAUUCUGAGAGAGAAUAGGAGGAGAGAGGGUGUGUGUUCAAUCAACCAUGCAAUCUGCCUUUCAGUCCUGCUCUCUUUGCAGGAUGGGUCAGAAGCAGUACAGAAGAGAGAGAGAGAGAGAGAGAGAGAGAGAGAGAGGGAGCUAGAGAGAGAGGUAAGCAUGACGUAAGUUUCUGGCACCGUAACGCGUGCAUGGAAGCGUGUGAAGCGGAUUUCGAAUUCAAUACACAUACACCGCCUAGGCGCUAGCUAGCUUUUAACUCUCUCCUUGGACUUUU